CUGGUGCAGGACCAGCCUGUGAGUGCCGGGUGCGAGGGGCAGAGAACAGGAGCGGUGUGGUAACUGUUACCCCCACCGGCAACGCAGCAGCCAGUGCAGGCGAGCUGCUUGCGACCAGCAUGCACUGGUGGCGUUCGGGCCUCGAGGGAUCCUCUGUGGUGUGUUUGAGAACCUUCAGUGGCCGCGGGUUUGGGGACACGUCCUGUCUAGGGACAACAAGUGUUGCUAGGGGCAACACUUGCAGCAAAUUGAGGGUCUCAGCCCAGCCACACUCAGGCCUGGGGUGGGUGGUAAGAGUUUCCCGCUAGCUGAGUCUCUCCAGUGUUUAGAAUUUUUAAAAGCCAUGGGUUUUUUCCCCUGUCUUUGCUGAAUGCUGCUUUCUGAGCAGUUUGAAGAUGACCUAAAACAUUGGGUGGUGUCAGUGUUGUGUGCCUGUGUUUUCCAUGGAAGAAGGGCUAGGGCUGUGCUAAGUGAGGAAGUGUAGGUUGCAUAUAGAAGAUGGUGAGCUGGAGAGGUGGCACAGGACUAUCUGGCUUCCAUGAUGUCUGCGUGGAUGAGAAGAGUAUUUCUGAUGAAAUGUAUAGUGCUGUCAAGCACAGUGUUGGGUGGUCACUUUGGAGUCUGAAAUCUUUGCUUUCCUUCUGUCUGUGUUGAAUGAGAGGAUGUUUAAGUCAGUGGGGACUGUAUAUUUCUCCUUUCUGUUUGACCUGUGUAUAGUUUUAUGCUGAGUAAGACAGACUUCCAGCAUUGCAGUGUCUGUGCUGCAGUCACCAUGAGGAGUGCCAUCUGACAUAAGCUGACAUUAACUGGAUGCCUGAGCAAGCCUACUAUCUGUGAGGACUGCUGUGGCAUCUUAGUGAUGAAACAGAGCCUGAGAUCAUGGCUGAAGCAGCACAGUGGGUCAGUUGUAAUUGUGGGAGCAAUUAUGGGCCUUGGAUUUGGGAUAGUUCUGAAAGGGCUUUGCAGUUUCUUGCUCUCUUGGUAACAACUGUUCUGGCCUUUUGCAGGUGCUGAAGCAUAGUUUGGCAAUUGAAGCAGCAUCACAGGUCUGUAGGAUCAGCAGCCAGAUGCAAAGAACAAGCUCUGACUCACAGCGUGCACACAGCUAAGUACCACUUCCCUUAAAGAGAAGCUCGUUGGUGGUUACAGAUGUCACUGGCUCUGAAUAUUUGCCCACAGAGAUGAGACGACCAUAAAUAUUAAUUGUCUUAGUAAUAGUACUGCAGAUUUAGUGCUGGCUGUGUCGCAGGUAAGUUUAAUGGAAGUGCAGCUUAGUACAGUGGAUCAGUCUACAAAUUGAGUCUCACAUAUGGUCACAUGAAUGGUGGCUGAAAUCAAGCCUGUAAACAGCAAUUGCAGAGUGUUUCUGGUGUGUGUUCCAUCCUGCUGCCCUUGAAAACUUGUAAAUGAAAACUUGUAAAGCUACAGGCAAAAAUUCUCAUCUUCUUUUUACUUCUCUCUUUACUAUUUUCUUGCUCUCGUAUUCUUUUGCAUUUCUUGCUCAAAACUGAGUGUUUUGAGUUCUUCACUUACAGUUUAUUGUUUAGAGUUUGUGGUUUGCAGUGGUUUCUUACUUAGGAGUUAUGGUUUAUUACUUUAUUUUGUGAGGCUCUGUAUUUAUUAUGAUUUACGCUUUACUUAUUUAUAGAUUGGGGCACCAGAUGUAAAAAUGUAAUCUCAUCCAUAAAAUCUAAAUCCCCAAUGACCCAAUGACAAGGGUGCUGAGAUUUGUAGUUUAUCAUAUUAGGGCUUACUGUGCAAAAUGGAAAAGUUGAAGUCCUUGGAUAAUAAACUGUAAGCCCUGAAGCUUAAACAGUAGGCUCUGUGAUUCCACUAAGAAAGGCACUAAGACUCUGUAAAUUAUUGAUAAAAAUUCCAUUUAUUGAAUCUAACAUCAGCAGGAAAAAGAGCAUAGUGUAAUCUUACAUACCUUCAGAUGCUAGGAACGGUAUUCUGCAGAAUUGGAGAGAUCCCUAACUGAGGUACAGCCCCACAGUGCAGCUUCUGUGUUCUGUUGACAUCUUGGUCUUUGUAGCUCUUGUGGGAUUUUCUUGUAAGAAAAUAAUUCUAUUCACCCUUUUACUGUCAAAUGAGAGUGUUCACUUGAGAACCUGCUGCUGUGCUUUCAGAUCUGAGAUCUUGGUUUGACCCUGUGCAGGCAUGACACACUGCCACUGCUGGUGGAUGAGUUGAGAGCUGUCAAGCUUCUUGCAGGGCUGUACUCUAGGUGUAGGGCAGAAGCACAGACAGGUGAAUUUAGGCUUUUUCCUUGAAUAACAAAGCUGAGUCCUGUCCUUGAAGGAAAAAGCAGACUGACAGUUAUACCUCUUGAUGAACUUCGGGAAGUUCAUGUCAGCCCGUUUUUCUGGCUUGUUAAGGUCUCUCUGGACAGCAGCAUGAUACUUUGGCUUAUCAGCCACUCCAGCCAGUUUUGUGACAUUGCAGACUUGCUGAGGGUACUCUGUCGCAUCCUCACUGGUUUGUGGUGUGCUUCAGAGACCUGUGUUUUUCUUUCCAUGUCGCCCAGGGCUCUCUGUUUGCCUCAGACCGCAGGGUGUUUGCGCUCCCCAUCCCCGGGCCGCGGGGUGCGUUCUCUGCUGCCGCCCGGCGACCACAGCGUGGUGCUGCAGGAGGGGUGGCACGGAUUCACCCCCCCCCAUCGGACUCGGUGCUGCCGUCAGGGGAGCCAAACGCGUGCGUGACCUUCACCUUCCUGCUGACCUUUGACCACGGGUGGCAUUUGGCUGUUUUGGGCCACUUUCGACAUUUCCAGUGACCUUUGACCCCUUUGUGACAUCAACCUAUUUGGUGACCUCUGACCUUUCAAAUUACCUUUGACCUUUCAAAUGACCUUUGACAUCUGAACUACCUUUUCCUGUGACCUCUGAUGUUUUUGUGACUUUUGAUCUCUGGAUAAUGACCUUCCAGGUGUGACUGUUGACCUUCCAAUCCCCACAUUUGAACUUUAAUCUUUUGAGCUUGA
Neopelma chrysocephalum (saffron-crested tyrant-manakin) is the source of this 2983-nucleotide long non-coding RNA. RefSeq lists it as uncharacterized. The record is from RefSeq and is a predicted model, not a curated record. NCBI's taxonomy places the organism in Eukaryota, Metazoa, Chordata, Aves, Passeriformes, Pipridae. The transcript is spliced from 2 exons.